GCGGCUUCUCGGCGCCAUUUUGUCUCGGCAGCGGUGGCCACAGCUCUAUCGCAUUUUAUGUUUCUGGCGAGAAGGGAUUGGAGCGUCUAUCCGGUAGGUUCAUUUUAGUGCGGGACCUAUUUACCGUUCCCUCCAGGACACCACUCAGUGAAUAUCGGAAGAGUCAUGGACCCUUCAAAAAGUUGUGUUGAGGAAAGUAUAGGACAUCUCAAUGACAAAUAUCCAGAUAUUACUGAGAACAAGCCUGGUUUUUGUGAAAAAAUGAAGCUCGGAUUUCCAGUUUUAAAGACUUAGAUCUGCUAUGCGUGUUGAAAAUUCUGUUCCUGGUCUCGUUAUGAAUCAUAAAUAAAAGCAAACGGACAGUCUCUUCAGAUAAGUGUAUUUGUAAUCUAAAUACAUUUUAUUUGAAAUCUCUAAACUGAAACUUUGUUCUUCUAAAACUUUCUUUUUUUUUUAGGUAUCACUAUUAAGGUUUAAACACUAAUAAGGUAUUCAGUCUUUUCUUAAAAUAAAAUUUAUAGUCACAAAGUAAAAUGUAGUUGCUUUUUUUACCAUCUUACUGAUAGAAUGUUAAAUAGGAUAUUCAUUAUCAUUUCAUUUCUGAGGGUAAUCAGAUCUCACAGUAGUUACAAAGUGCCCUUAAAUUGAACCUAGAUUAAUCCUGUGUAUAGUAUGAAAAUCAGUUUUUUCAUAAUAGCUUGAGAACUAGGUAUAGCUGCUUAGUUUUAUCUGAUGUUAUUACAUCUAUAGUGGGUUACAAGUAGUUUAGCUGCUUAAAGUUAGGUUUAAAACAGAGCUUUGAACCAAUUUGAACCAAUUCAGUUACGGCCGACAACUGUGAAACAGGAUCAGACCCUAAGUUUUACAAUUUGGCAUGGUACCUGGAAUGAGAAAAAUUAACAGGUUGAGGUUCUGGAAUGAGACUCAGAAGAGGCAGAGUGAGCCGUUUCAGUAGCCUGAUAUGUGAGAUUGGAUUGUUGGCAGGGCUGUAGAAGAGCAACACACUUUCCAAGUGGUGUGGUCAGCAGCCGUCCUUAGGUGGGGUGCCAUCAUCUUUGAGCUGGACAGUGCUGCUCUGGACUGUGCUCAGAAUCCAAGGGCAAGGGAUUUAUUUGGUUGCUAUGCAAUGCAUACACUGCCCUUGUUCCCUAAGAGGGAGAUUAAGUUUCUAGCAGGACUUCAACCCAUAAUUUUUCCUGUUCUGGUCAUCUUUCCGGUUUACCAAAACCCAUUGCCAUUGAGUUGAUUCUGACUCAUAGUGUCCCUAUAGGACAAAGUAGAACUGACCCAUAGGAUUUCCAUAGGCUGGUGGAUUCAAACUGCCAGCCUUUCAAUUAGCAGCUGUUAACCACUAUGUCACCAGGGCUCCAUCCAUUUUACAGUACCUUAAAAUUUCGGGUGUUUCAGUGAUGCUUCCUUGGCCCUGGUUUAAAAAGGGUUGUUGAGGAAUACAUGCACUCACAGCCCAGUAAGAAUAGAAGAUUAAUGUGCCAUUCAUAGUUUGGAAAAGUUUAAGAAAAGCCACAGAUUGGCUUAUUAUCUGAGUAAAAUAUGAGUUGUAAAAUGUAGCAGAUAAUUUCACAUAAAAAAAAAGCCAUAAUAAAAUACUGCUUUUGAGUUGUUUGUGUAGUAGUUAGCUAUUUAAGUAUAAUGAUUUGCUGUCUAAAGUACACAAAUGCUCAAAGUCCACCAAUACCCUGCAACUAAACGACUAAAUUGUCUUCCCAGGAAAGCAUAGCAGUUGAAUGGUGCAGCACUGGCAUGAGCCUGAUAAAGUGGUUAAACACUCAUCAGCUGCAAACUGGAAGGUCAGCAGUUCAAACCUACCAGCUGCUCUGCAGGAGAAAAAUGUGGCAGUCUGCUUCCAUAAAGAUUUACAGCCUUUGAGACUCCAUGGGGCAUUUCCACUCUGUCCUGUAGGGUUGCUGUGAGUCAGAAUUGACUACAACAGCAGUGGGUUUGGUUUUUUAUAUCUAGGAUACCUGGCAAAACUCACAAGUAUUUCUCCCUGCUGAGAGUGCUGCUAUUGAGGUUCUGACAGUUGUCCUUCCAAGCCCCAGUACUUCCUAUACCACUUACUAACAAUUACGUUUACAGAGCACAUUCACAUACAUUCUAAUUUAUUUUUGGCAUAAAUGCUCUCUGGUGGGUAUUUUUAUUUGAACUUCACAGAUCAAGAAAUUUUAAGAGUGACAGAAUAGGGAUUUUAUUGAUUGUUAAAUGCACACCCCCUAACUACAAUAAAGGAAAAAUAAACAUUCUUGACUCACAUAUUGAUGAAACUUUUAAAAAACUGUCCCAAUUUGAGACAUACUUCUUUUGCAUCACACCUAAAAUUUAACAAUGGGUUUCUUAGUAACAAUCACUAGGUAAGUGAUGGAGUAGAGAUUGGGAUUCAUGAUUUCAAAGCCUCUUCAUUUUCUAGUAUCUUUUUUUUUUUUAAGGAAUUUUAAAGUAGGCAUAAAUCUACACUUUACUGUUGAGUAAUACAUCCUCAACCCCCACCAAUUUUGUCAGGGAGAUAUUAACCAAGCUUCAGUUGUUACAAGACAAAAAUUUAAUGAAAAUUGAUCAGUGGGUAUGUAAUAAUCCACAGGGCUAAAUAGUUUACAUGGGACUGUAAUAGAAAUUUAAAAUAGAUGCUGAAGUAAAUGUUACAUAUUAUCAUCAUCUGAUUCAUCUUCUUCCUUCAAAGAUUCCUGUUAGAAGAAAAAUAGUUUAAAAGCAAUUUUAGUAUCGUCAUCUCCCGUACCUAUAGGCAAGUUAAGGUUUAACAACCUAAAUUUAAUUCAGCCCGUCAUUAAAAAUUCACUUAUUUAUAACUGAAAAAUGGAACACUGUUUUAGAACGAGACACCCAAGUCAAGCAAAACCCAAACCCAGUGCCGUCAAGUCGAUUCCGACUCAUAGUGACCCUAUAGGACAGAGUAGAACUGCCCCAUAGUUUCCAAGGAAUGCCUGGCAUAUUCAAACUGCCAACCCUUUGGCUAGCAGCCGUAGCACUUGACCACUAUGCCAGGGUUUCCAAGUAAAAGCAAAGGAUAAAUAUAUCUUGCUCUAACAAUCAAAAGCUACAUUGUUGCUAGAACCCAGACAUACAGCAUUCAUGUCCGGAAGAACCCAGGCAAUUUUCACCCAAAAAAUAAGAUCUGGAACCAGGGCAACUUUAUCCCUAUUGGGGAUAACCUAGAAAAUUCCUGUCCUUAAUGCAGCCCUACCCUUGAAAGUUUUAAUCAACCCAGUUCCUUUAUUAUUCAACUCUUAUUUGCAUACCUUCAGCUGGAGAAGUUUUUAUGCUGUAGCUUACCUUAGCGUAUUUCUCUGCUUCUUCUCUUAUAUCUUUUGGUACAAUUUCAUGUCUUCCUUUAGUUACUGUAAAAUUAAGCCAUAUUAAAGGAAUUUAAAAUAAGUAUAUUGUGAUUUGCAACGCCAUGCAGUCUAUCCAAUCCACACGUACAAUUCACUAAUAUUAUGAAAGUACUGCAAGCAAUACCAGAUGCUUUGAAUUCAACUUUGUAUUUCUUCCACAUCAGAGCUUACGUCUACCCAAGUUUACUCUUAUGGAGAUGAAGAGUAUAUUAGAUCGGAAUUCAGCUGAUUGUAAAUAUUGAGUAUUCAUUAAUGUGCACCAAAUUAAUUUUUAAAACAUCCUAGCCUUGAAAAAAAUUUAAUUUCUCGGUAGUAUCUUUUAAAAGCAUGAAAUGGAUGUUGGGGGGGGGGAACAAUUAUAAGGAAAUAAACGGUUCACAAUGUUAGUCAAGAAGUAUUACGCAGAAUUUUUCCUGACUACCUUGUAAGUUUAAUUUUUUUUUUCACAUUAGAAAGGGUACCCAGUGGUAAAGUAGCUGUGGUUCGGAUGACUCCUUCAGCGAAUUAAACAUGCAAAUAUAACUUACAUUCACCAACCCAGCUGAGCUCUAGUUCAAAAGCUUUAUCCUUGACUUCAUCAUGUACUAUGUAAAUUCUAAAAUACAAAAAGAAAAUAACAUUCAUUUGGCCAUCUCCAAGCAUUUUAAUUCAUGCACCUACUGUCAGUACAAAUCAGAGCAACCAUCCCUAAAAUAAGUAUUUAUUACUAAAGUAUAUAAGACACAUUACAGUCUAUACAGUUACGAACAUUAGAAAACAGAUUACAGUGACUGAAAUAAAACACUUGCUCUCCUUACAAAUGAUUAUACAUCCCAAGUUUGCUUUAUUUUGAUACUUUGUUUUAAAAAAUCCUAACUAAAGAAAAAUACCUCAUAAAGAACAUAGAUUCUUACGGGAAAAUGCCAUCAUUAGCCGUGUCUUCCCAGAAUACAAUUACAGGCAGUCCCCAGAUUACAAAUGAGUUCCGUUCAUAAGUCAGUCUUUAAGUCAAAUUUGAACAUAAGUCACUACAGGUAACGUUCAUAUCUAAGAUUAGUCAAAUAUCUACCUUAGUGUAUAGUGUACCUUUCUAUGCAUAAAAAACAUUAAAGAAACACUUCUGAAGACACUAAAAAUCUUUAACGUAAUUUAACAGUAAUAAUAAAGUUUUGAUGCUCAUCACAAAGUAGCACCCAUUCAUUAUUAGGAACCAUUGUAUGUACCUCGAAUUUAAAUAUGAUAGGCUUUAAGGAAGUUGGUUCGUAACUAUGGGUUGUUCAGACUUUCACAACCCAGGACUGCCUGUAUUUUUAACCAAUUUAUUUAUGUGCUUGCGAUAAUUAGCGGUAUCUUCAAUCUGCAGCUUCUUGGCAGGAAUCUUCUUAAAUUCCUUGUCCAUUUUCUAAGGACUACAUUCUACUUAACCUGGCUUUUAAAUUAUCAGAAAACAUAUAAAAAAAUAUUAAAUAUCAGGAUAAAGCUUUCUUUUAUAUUUUCCACUCUUACAUACCUUACUUAGGAGGGUCGUCCUAACCCCUUGCUUAAUGACAAAUCAUAUUUUCUAGAGCUAAUACAGUGUUCCAUUAUAUUAAAUAAAUGAUGACUUUACUACAUGAGACUAGAGAAGUGUCUAAAUAUAAAAGGUGUUAAAGGAUGAUUUCCAGAAGCACUUAAAAGGAUUGGUUUAGUGAAGGAAAUUGAGUAUACCACACUGAACAACUGUACAAUUCAGUGAAGAUUAACUUUCCUUUUAUGAGGUCCUACUGUUAGUUCCCAUCAUUCACUUUAUUAUCAAAACACUUUGCCAAUCAUGGAGAGGUUUCUGCUUAUUUCCACAAUUGCAAGGAGAGAAUCUCAUCAUGAAGGAGUGGGAAUAGUACAUAGACAAUUAGGACAAAAUUAUACAACAGUGAAGAUUUUAAUAGGCUCUCGGGAUUAUCAAAAUAGAACAUCCUUUAUUUGUUAAAAUCAGUUUAGAAGGUAUUAACAGGUACAGUUUAAAUAGUAUGUUUUUAUUAUACACAGAGCCCUCUAGGACUUCCCUUCCUUGCAUGUUUAUAAUUUAAUAUAAAACCCGAGACAUUAUCUGCACAGGGGCUGACUGGCCAGACCUUGUUCAUGUAUUCUAAUGUGGAAUAGCUGGAGGUGCUGUGAAUUUGCUGGAGCAUUAUUUAUAUCCUUGAUUUUAAAUCAGAAAAGUUGGCUGCAACACCAUUUUAUUGGAUUUUUUUUUUCAAAUACCAAACACCAACAUUCUUUGACCUAGAAGAGUUAUGAGUUUUUGAAGCAUUACCACACAGGUUUAUUAACUUUGAAUUGCAGAGUAUUCAAAAAAAUUGUUAGAACAUACUGGAUGUAACUAAUAUAAACCAUUUCAGACUUUAAUAGGCUGUUUUUAAAUGUUUUGAAAUGCUGUUCUCAUUUUGUUACAAGAACUUUUAUAAUAAACCUGAAAAAGUGAAACAUAUCUUGCCCAAAGAAACAGCAGUUUAUAUAAAUGAGCCAGUUUUACAAGUGACUUCAUAUAUCAUGCAGAGAAAUAAUUAGCUGUGAACCUAAAAUAAAGAUAAUUUUAGUUUGUAAGCUUUCUUGGAGGCAAUUUAACAUUAUGUUAAGACCAAAGUCCCCAGAGGUCCAGUAUUUCCUCCUGCCCUUAAAUUCUGUCACCUACAAAAGAAGUUUAUAUACUGUCAAAAGCUGUUUUUUCCCUCCAUCCCAUUCAUUAUCACUUGAAAAUCUAUGUUUAAUUUAAAAUGUGGAUAUUUUCUUCCUUAAUAAGAUUCAUAAUGUGUAAAGGAAACAUAUGCAAAAAGAAAAUAUUUGCUGUAACAUCUGUAUCUUGCUCUAUCUCCUUUAUAUUGUUUCAUGUUAAACGUAGCUUGUAAAAAUUAUACAUAUAUUCUUUUCAAACAAAACAGCCUCUCAAAAUUAAUGUAUAAAGUAAGGUCAAGUGAAAUAUUUUUGUCAAUGGCAAGGAAAAGUCGAACUUACAUUUUUGCAACUUCUUUAACAACAUCACGGCAGGUCAUUUCUUUCAUCUACAGAAAAUAAAAUGUAUAUUCAUUAAGUUUAAAAAUCAGAAGAACACUUUUCACUCGUGUAACUAUUUUCACAAUUUCUAUGAAUAACCUAAUGUUCCUGAAAUAGUUUCUCAGCUAUAAAGCCAGGGAAAAGUAUUCUAAGGCUGGUAAGAGGCCAGAACUAAAGGUUUCUAAUUCAUAGUUCAGUGUUUGAAAAUUAUUGUGCCAAAAUAGUAUUCUGGACAACCCCUAGAUACCACUAGUUAUGUGAUAAGUCUUGAAAAUUAUAAAAAUCUAGAGCCCUCAAUGAAUCUAUUCACAGGCAAAAUGUGAAUUUACAAAUUGUUUACAGAAAAGCUUGUUCUUAUUACAAGCAAUUUGGCUUUCCUGUAGUGGACAUUUGGAAAUUAGACUAGAAAAACAGGCCUUAAGUGUCCAGCUCUGAGGAGUGUGUAUACUGUGUAGGUACUAGAAGUAACCAAUGCAGGAUUUUUAUAUCAGUCAUGUAGGUUUCUGAACAGACAUAAGAUCAGAGCAAUGUUUGAGCAAACUGGCAUUCAUAUUCUGGAUACACUUUGUGUUUGUGGGUGGGGAAAUGGUGAAAGAUACAGAACAUUCAUUUAGCAGUCCAGACUUGUUAGGUGUUUCAACUACUCUUAUUUCUGAACUAGGUUAACAUUUUAUUUUUGAUAUUUUUGAAAUUUAGAAAUCCUGAUACUCAAGCUGUGCCUGCACAACCACAUGAAGAAGAACAAGAACAAAAUAAAACCUUAACACUGAAGUUUAAAUUUAAGAAUACCAGUCUUUUUAGGAAAUCGCGAAAUCCAGUAUAUGGAACAAAAGCAACUGCCAGAGAGUUCAAAAAAUUACCAUCAUGUGAAGAGAAGGAUUCUAACUUUAAAAAGAUCUUUAAAAACAUACUCAGUAUGUGGGAACGCUGACUGUGUGAUUGUUAGAAAAGACAAGAUUAUUGAGGCAGUCUGGUUAUGGGUUGACUAUUGGAUAUCUCAGGUGUGAUAAUGGCAUAUGAAUACUGAAGCACUUAGGGAUACAAUAUCAUGAAGUCUGCAACUCGGGGAAAAAACACAAAUGGAUAAAAUAUGAAAAAAUAACUUAGAUGGAGAGGUUUGUAAUAUUCUAUCUUUUCUGAUAUUUUAGUUGGCAUUUUUACAUAUUUUCAUUAAGUUUUUAUUUCAUAAGUGAAUGUUACCGGUAUACAGAACCUCAGAAGAAAAGGCAGAGUACAGAUAGGCAAACUUUUACUCUGUAAAUGGCCAGAUAGUAAAUACAUUAUUAGACUUUACGACCCAUAAGACCUCUAUUGCAACUAUUCAACUCUACCGUUGUAGUGUGAAAAACUAAAUGUGACUGUGUUCCAACAAAACUUAGUUUUACAAUGGACUGUAGUUUGCCGACCCCUGAUUUAGAGCAUGGUUUUGUCAUAAAAUGUUCCUUAAGCAAAGUAAUUUUUCUUGAUUUUAGCCAGCACUUAUCUUUCCCAUCCCCCGCUAGGAUUUAACGACUGAAAGACAAAAGGAAUAUGGAUCCAAAUAUUCUAAUUUUCAAAAUUUGCACAUAAUACUAGGGAGAAAUGAGUAACAAAAAAAGGAGAGUAUGAUGGAAAAGAGCAUUGUUAAGUUGAUCGAUUCAUGCCUGAAAGGAAAACCAAGCAGCAAGCAUUGGAGAAUAGUCAGACAAUGUGAAAGCUAGGUUCAGACAAGAAAGACAAGACACGGGAAAAAGCACUAUGUAACUUUUCAUUACAACUGAUUCCGUAACAUUAACUCAAAAUUCUAAAGCACCAAGCCUGGGCUUCAUAGGGGUCCAUGAACGCACUUCAGGAGUUUUGUGAAAUUUUAUGAAAAAUUCUGAUUGUAUUUUUCUGGAUGAGGGUCAUAAUAGUUAUCAAAAACCACAAAGGCAUCCAUAACAAUUCUCCAGGUAAUGUGUCACCAACUUUCCUACUCAAACAUUUCGAACCUUCAAAAAGCUCUCUCUAAACAUUCAAUCACAUUUUGUCCUUAGACUAGAAGGUUUAGUUCGUGGUGGUAAGACUUCACUGUGUGGGAGGAUAAUAUUACACCAAAAUUAUAAGUAUUAAACAUGCAUUACCUGAAGUUUUUCAAUUUCUGUCUUUGCAGCUUGCCUGGCUUUACCAAUAGCACAGCCCCAAUAACCCUAUUUAAAAAAUAUAUAUAUAUUUAUCAUUAAAUUAGUAUCAUUAGUGACUACAAGUAUUUCUAUUUAAAGGGUAAAGAGGAUGUUAAAUGACUUGAAAUCAAGUAUGAAGAAACAGUCUAGUACAUUCCAAUGAUCUCUGGAGUGCAAAGUAAUUAAAAUAUCAAACUUAGUUCUUGAAGAAUCUGACUUCUUUAAAAGAGGCAUAUACAGAGAAAAAUUAUAUCAUACACACUUCAAGAAAUACAGACUUUUUUGGGGGGGGAUAGAAAUGAAAAAAACUAGCAAUAUGACAAUGAAAGAUGAGGCUUUCCUCUCUCCCUCCCCCAUGGAGAUAAAAAUUACUUUGAAUUGAGUCCAAUGCUCUAAGUCCUCAGUUUUUGUGGUAUGUUGUAAAGGUGUUUUGGUUUUUUUUUAAUUACAUACAUACAUUUCGAAGAUUCAGUACUUAAAAGUUCAUUUGUUUAAAUUAGUAAAUACCAUAUAAAUGGUCAGAAUAACAAGAUUGUUAAGAAAAGGCAAUAAAUUAGAAAAAGUACCCAAAAUUCCAUUUAAAAUACCUUUUUUAAAAGGAAAAAUACUAUCUUCCAUUUUAAAACACUACUAAUAUAGUAAUGGAAGAAAUACCACAUUCAAAAAUGUAUAUUCGUUAUCAUUUUUAUAAAUAACAUUGAGAGCCACAAACCUUUCCUCUGCCUUAUAGCCAUAAGUUGUUGUUAUUAAUGAUAAAACAUUCCUUAAAUGAUUUUUAAGGAAAUUUCAAAUAAGGCAAAUAUGAGAUUUAAGUAUUAAUGAGAAUGAUACCACUAAACUAGCAUUAGAAUUUCAGAUGAUUCAAAAUUACUCACGUAUGAAACGCCUGAUGGGUCAAUCAUGUAGAGUUGGGCACCAUCAUUCACACUGUAAGACCCUAACAUGAAACUGCAAAAAAGUAAAUGAAAAAGAAAAUGAUCAUUAAACACCACUUGAAAUCUCAACAUCGGCGGGGGGUGGGAGGAGGGGGUAAGUGAAGACUUUAAACCAUGGCUCUUAAUACCAUGAAGUAGGGGGGAAAAUACAAUGAUGAAAAUGUAACUGGUUUCUAAGAUAAAUUACUGAUACACACAAGUCCUUUGAUAAACACCAGGUUUUAAUUAUUAAAAGCUAGUGCAUAUUUGAGAUUAUCUCUUCAAUAUUCAUGUGGCUUUUUCUGUUUGUUUAGUAUUAAGCCUUCUGAUGAAACUUGGCUUCCUGGUAUGUUAGCGGUAUUGAGAAAGGAGUAAAUGAUAACGCAGAAUGAAAAUAAUGGAGGGUCUAAAAGGUAAAUGUAUAAACAUCUUUGAAAAAGCCAUAUGGGCAAAAUUCCUGGCUGAGUAUACUGAAUUCACAAACUUUCCAUCCUUAAUUCUUUUCUGGCUACUCCCCGAUUUUCCUCCAGACAUUUUUCUGCAAAAUACAAACUGGUUGGUCCAUGCUCACAAAUUAAAAUUAGGCUAUCAAAUGAUCCUAUUGAAUCAGAUUUUCUGAACUGUGGGGUUUUUUUGUUUUUUUCUUUAGAAGUAGAUAAGAAGUCAGCCUGAUCUUACAUAUUAUUUUACAUUUGGAAUACCUAACAGCCAACUGUCCAAUUCCCAGCCCUAACAUCUUUCCAUCCUCCACACUGGUAUGACACUUAUUUUUCAGAAUGUAUAUCUGAUUGUCAUUAUUAUGCUUAAAAUCUUUCAGUGAUACUUUAGGUUACGCUGAAACUCCUUAGCAGACUUACGUAUACUCUGGCCCUGUCUGACAUCGUCAAUAUUAUCUCCAUGCCUUAUACUCUACAUACCAAGUAUACUCAACUACCUCAGCAUUUCCUGAAACUGCCCAUGGAGUUUCAUCCUAGUCCUUUUGCUUGAAAUACCCUUACUGCUCCCCCUCUACAUCUCACUUUGCCUUAUCAUUUCUUCUCAGAGGCCAUUCCCUAAUUGAUGCCCCCACUAUAUACAAUAUAUACCUUUAUUAUUUCACCUUUGAAGUUUUAUCAGUCAUGAUUUAUUCAUCUCUGUGAAUCUGUGACUGUCUUGUAUAUGCUCAAUAAAUGUUCACUGAAAAAGUUAUCACCCCCUCCACUAUUCUUAAUACCCUCAAAAAUGCCACAAAAGAAUUAACUGAUGAAUUUGGAAUUCAGCUGAAAAGUUAAAAAUGAAAGUAUUCUAUUUAGCCUUAAAGCAAAGUGUCUUAAAAUGUAAUUUAAAGAAACUUAAGAAUAACUAAUGCAACAAGUAACAACAAGUUUAACCUACUACCGAUAGGAUAUAACUCAGCUUUUUUUCUAACAUCUGUCCUCCUUAGUAAUUUAAACAUUAUAAAACAAUCCAGAGGUAGGACUACGGCUAACUUACUUUAACAGUGGCAAGCACAGAGAUGUUAGUAAAUGUUUUGCUCAAACAUGACUAGCCUGUUUUAUUUUACAAAAGUUAUAAAUUAAACAUGUCUAUUUUAGGACAAUCUAGAGUCAUGACAAGUCUCCUCUGAAAAGCAGUAUUUAGCCUACCAAAAUAAAUAAAAAUACCAGCACUUCACCUUAACAAAAACAGAAACAGUGCCCAGCGGGGACUGUGAAAUGUAAUGUAUAUGGAUUCCUUACCAACUACUAGAAAUUCCAUUUAAGAGGAUUUUACUUAAGUGUUUAAAGUAUAUGAGAUGGAAAUCAGUGAGAAAACCAAACUAUAACUGGCUACCUAAUAAUGACAAUAUAGAAAAUAUUUAAAAUUAGCUUGUAGUUUUCUGAGACAAAUUUAUACCAGAAAAUUUAUUAAAGUCAUUUCUAUGAAUUAUCACUUUACAUCUGUACACUACUUUACACUAUUCAAAUAGUUUUUAUUUUUAUCUACACUGUUUUAUUUAAUCACUGCCCUAAUACUUCUUAGUAAUAGUACAUGUUUUUAAGGGUAUAAAAGACUAAAAAUUGGUGAAAAUACUUAUAGAUCUGACUGAAUAUCCAAGAGAAUUUCAUACCUGCAGCCAAAAGGUCUAACAGCACUGUAGAGUGUAUAU
Loxodonta africana (African savanna elephant) is the source of this 11560-nucleotide long non-coding RNA. RefSeq lists it as uncharacterized. NCBI's taxonomy places the organism in Eukaryota, Metazoa, Chordata, Mammalia, Proboscidea, Elephantidae. The record is from RefSeq and is a predicted model, not a curated record. The transcript has 4 exons.